AAAAUCCGUCGACUUUUAAAAUCGUGAGGGUUCAAGUCCCUCUAUCCCCAACGGUGGUUCAAGUCCCUCUAUCCCCA
RNAcentral lists this transfer RNA (77 nucleotides) under Pimelea ferruginea. Its description in RNAcentral is "tRNA-Leu(UAA)". Lineage: Eukaryota; Viridiplantae; Streptophyta; Magnoliopsida; Malvales; Thymelaeaceae. The record is from RNAcentral.